GACGAACGCUGGCGGCGUGCUUAACACAUGCAAGUCGAACGGAAAGGCUCCAGCUUGCUGGAGUGCUCGAGUGGCGAACGGGUGAGUAACACGUGGGCAAUCUGCCCUGCACUCUGGGAUAAGCCUGGGAAACUGGGUCUAAUACCGGAUAGGACCUUUCUCCUCAUGGGGUCUGGUGGAAAGUUUUUCGGUGCAGGAUGAGCCCGCGGCCUAUCAGCUUGUUGGUGGGGUAAUGGCCUACCAAGGCGACGACGGGUAGCCGGCCUGAGAGGGUGAUCGGCAACAUUGGGACUGAGAUACGGCCCAGACUCCUACGGGAGGCAGCAGUGGGGAAUAUUGCACAAUGGGCGAAAGCCUGAUGCAGCGACGCCGCGUGAGGGAUGACGGCCUUCGGGUUGUAAACCUCUUUCAGUAGGGACGAAGCGCAAGUGACGGUACCUGCAGAAGAAGCACCGGCUAACUACGUG
Molecule: ribosomal RNA, 467 nt
Filed under: uncultured bacterium
Lineage: Bacteria
Description: partial 16S ribosomal RNA
Rfam family: Bacterial small subunit ribosomal RNA
Source: RNAcentral